CCACUACAAAGAGACGCAAUACCGUAAGGUGGAGCAAAUCCCAAAAAAAGUGGUCCUAGUUCAGAUUGUGGGCUGAAACCCGCCCACAUGAAGCUGAAUUUGCUAGUAAUCCCGGAUCAGCAUGCCGGGGUGAAUCCGUUCCCGGGUCUUGUACACACCGCCCGUCACACCAUGGGAGUUCGGAGUGCUUGAAACCGUUGGCCUAACCCGCAAGGGAGGGAGGCGUCUAGGGCAAUACGAAUGACUGGGGUGAAGUCGUAACAAGGUACC
RNAcentral lists this ribosomal RNA (270 nucleotides) under uncultured bacterium. RNAcentral's name for it is "partial 16S ribosomal RNA". It matches the Rfam family "Bacterial small subunit ribosomal RNA", at positions 1234 to 1500 of the family's 1533-position model. The record is from RNAcentral.